Molecule: long non-coding RNA, 307 nt
Organism: Homo sapiens (human)
Lineage: Eukaryota; Metazoa; Chordata; Mammalia; Primates; Hominidae
Exons: 2
Source: RefSeq, a predicted model, not a curated record
GACGCUCCGGAACAGUUACUGGGACAGGCUGUGAGCGACUCACCAGGACAGUUUUAUUUCUGUGCUGAGCUUGCUGCUUCCUGCUGGGAAAAUGUUAGUGGCGGAGUCACACCCAGGUUCCCUGUGUCAUUGCAGGAGGCUGUACUGAUGCUCAUGUUUUGUUUCACAAGCUAAGUCCUUGACAGCAUCAGCUGGGAUCCCAGUCUUCUCUCUCAUGUUACCCAGUGAGAACUCACUCACAUAAAUGUCAGGGGAGAAUACUUGGCCUUCUGUUUCCUGGAUCACUGAAUAAAAUCCCCUAUGAUGA